Molecule: long non-coding RNA, 373 nt
Filed under: Lathyrus oleraceus (garden pea)
Lineage: Eukaryota; Viridiplantae; Streptophyta; Magnoliopsida; Fabales; Fabaceae
Description: Pisum sativum (pea) long non-coding RNA (PSAT_LNC027136)
Source: RNAcentral
CUCACUAUCUUUUUCCUCAGGGUUCUUCUCUCACUAUCUUUUUCCCAGACAAGGUAAUAGGAAUAGAAUAUAUCUUUGUUUCACUGAAACUCUGAAUUUAUAACCUGAUUUUGGUAACUUAGUGGGCUUUCGAGAGAGGUCCAAGUCUGAGAUUUUUUCUUUUAUUUAUUUUUUAUUUUUUAUUUUUUAUUUUUUAUUUUUUAUUUUUUUUUCGUAUUCCGUUUUUUUUUUCGUUUUUUUCGUUUUUUUUCGUUUUUUUCGUUUUUUUUUUUAAAUAAAGCUUCUUGGAUCUGAUUCUGAUUGACAUGAUGAAAUGCAAUGUGAAAUGUUAAAUGACCUAAAAAUGAAUGCAUGCAUAAGGGGUAAAGCGUAU